AUACGGAGGGUGCAAGCGUUACUCGGAAUCACUGGGCGUAAAGCGCGCGCAGGCGGCUUGAUAAGUUGGAUGUGAAAGCCUACGGCUCAACCGUAGAACUGCAUCCAAAACUGUCAGGCUAGAGUGUGGGAGAGGAAGAUGGAACUAGUUGUGUAGGGGUAAAAUCCGUAGAGAUAACUAGGAAUACCAAAAGCGAAGGCAAUCUUCUGGAACACUACUGACGCUGAGGCGCGAAGGCGUGGGGAGCAAACAGGAUUAGAUACCCCAGUAGUCC
This 274-nucleotide ribosomal RNA is filed under the name uncultured bacterium. RNAcentral describes it as "partial 16S ribosomal RNA". It matches the Rfam family "Bacterial small subunit ribosomal RNA", at positions 523 to 796 of the family's 1533-position model. The record is from RNAcentral.